This is a non-coding RNA of Mesocricetus auratus (golden hamster), 672 nucleotides long. NCBI's taxonomy places the organism in Eukaryota, Metazoa, Chordata, Mammalia, Rodentia, Cricetidae. The record is from the annotation of a RefSeq genome assembly.
CUUCCUUCGAGGCUGCAGCCUUAAUACCAGUUCUGUGCUCACAGAAACGCCCGUCAGCCAUCUGGUUUGCUGCCGGUCAUACAACCAAUGCCUGUCUUUCUGUCUCUGCCUUCCUGCCUCUACCUCUGCCAACCACCCCAUGCCCAUGUGGGUGUAUUUGUCUGUCUGUCUGUCUGUGGGUCUGUCUGUCUGUCUGCGAAUCAAGUGCCUUCCUGGCUUUGGUGGUAGGUGGACAAAUCACGUGUCACUACAGUGGAGCCUCCUGCCUGGUCUGACAGCCGCAGCAGAGCCCUGAGGUAGGGAUUUACCUGGUCCAUCCUGACCCAACCAUGGGUUCCAGGUCCCUAAGCUGUGUGACCUUCUGCCUCUGGGGAGUAGGCGUCCUAGAGACAGCUGUUUUCCAGACUCCACAGUUUCUUGUCACACAGGUGGGAAAUAAAGCCUCUCUCAAGUGUGAACAAGAUCUGGGCCAUGACACUAUGUACUGGUACAAGCAAGACUCUAAGCAAUUGCUGAAGGUUCUGUUUAGCUACAACAAUAAGCAACUCAUUGUCAACGAGUCAGUUCCAAGUCGCUUCUCACCUCAGUCUUCAGAUAAAGCUCAUCUGAGUCUUCAUGUCAAGUCUGUAGAGCCGGACGACUCUGCUGUGUACUUCUGUGCCAGCAGUUAAG